RNAcentral lists this long non-coding RNA (547 nucleotides) under Ananas comosus (pineapple). RNAcentral's name for it is "long non-coding RNA (ACOM_LNC019701)". Lineage: Eukaryota; Viridiplantae; Streptophyta; Magnoliopsida; Poales; Bromeliaceae. The record is from RNAcentral.
UUUAAUUUUUAUAAUUGAUAUUAUUAAAUUAUAUAUAUAAUAUUAUUAAAAAUUAUUAAUUUAUAUUUUACAAAAUAUUAAUAAUAUUAUAAUUUUAUAAAAAAUAUUAGUUGGAGGGGCGGAUUCGGGGCGCCGGCGGGAGGCGGGUUACGAGACGUGGCGGAUUAUGGGAUGUAUUUUUUAACCCGUCACAGAUUUGGGGCGGGAGGCGGGGCGGGAUUUUGCUAGUCGGGGCAGGAGGCGGGGCGGUGCUCCCGCCCCAAAUCCGCCCCGUUUGCAUCCCUACUCGUGGGCGCGACCCAACCGAGUAUACAAGCAUGUCUCUGUCGAGCUCAAUCAUACUCAUGCAAGCUAUAAUCAAUACAAAUGGGUCAAACUUGUCUAACAACCAAAGCUCACGUGCCCUUGGCACAAUCUGAUGCAAGAUACAGAAAUUUGGGUCCACCGUCAACCAUGACGGCACCCGACAGUACGGAACAGUCUACACUCUACUGUAAAACGAGCUUGGCCCCUCAGCACGAGCGUAAUCUCAACUUACACUAAUCUG